GUGGUCGGUGAGGGGCAGGUCGAUCUCGACGAUCGCGGCGCCGACGGCGCGGAAGCGUUCGAGGGCGCGUUCAAGCGUGGCGGCCACGCC
Molecule: transfer RNA, 90 nt
Filed under: Phycisphaerae bacterium
Lineage: Bacteria; Pseudomonadati; Planctomycetota; Phycisphaerae
Description: tRNA-Ala
Source: RNAcentral